UAGAGUUUGAUCCUGGCUCAGGAUGAACGCUAGCGGCAGGCCUAACACAUGCAAGUCGAGGGGUAGUUACUUUCGGGUAAUGAGACCGGCGCACGGGUGCGUAACGCGUAUGCAAUCUACCUUUUACAGGGGAAUAGCCCAGAGAAAUUUGGAUUAAUGCCCCAUAGUAUGUAUGAAUCGCAUGGUUUAUACAUUAAAGUUCCAACGGUAAAAGAUGAGCAUGCGUCCCAUUAGUUAGUUGGUAAGGUAACGGCUUACCAAGACGAUGAUGGGUAGGGGUCCUGAGAGGGAGAUCCCCCACACUGGUACUGAGACACGGACCAGACUCCUACGGGAGGCAGCAGUGAGGAAUAUUGGACAAUGGGCGCAAGCCUGAUCCAGCCAUGCCGCGUGCAGGAAGAAGCAUCUAUGGUGUGUAAACUGCUUUUGUACGGGAAGAAACACUCCUACGUGUAGGAGCUUGACGGUACCGUAAGAAUAAGGAUCGGCUAACUCCGUGCCAGCAGCCGCGGUAAUACGGAGGAUCCAAGCGUUAUCCGGAAUCAUUGGGUUUAAAGGGUCCGUAGGCGGUUUGAUAAGUCAGUGGUGAAAGCCCAUCGCUCAACGAUGGAACGGCCAUUGAUACUGUCAGACUUGAAUUACUAGGAAGUAACUAGAAUAUGUAGUGUAGCGGUGAAAUGCUUAGAUAUUACAUGGAAUACCAAUUGCGAAGGCAGGUUACUACUAGUGGAUUGACGCUGAUGGACGAAAGCGUGGGGAGCGAACAGGAUUAGAUACCCUGGUAGUCCACGCCGUAAACGAUGGAUACUAGCUGUUGGGCGCAAGUUCAGUGGCUAAGCGAAAGUGAUAAGUAUCCCACCUGGGGAGUACGUUC
Molecule: ribosomal RNA, 874 nt
Filed under: uncultured Bacteroidota bacterium
Lineage: Bacteria; Pseudomonadati; Bacteroidota
Description: bacterial SSU rRNA
Rfam family: Bacterial small subunit ribosomal RNA
Source: RNAcentral